Long non-coding RNA from Rosa chinensis, 410 nucleotides. RefSeq lists it as uncharacterized. The transcript is spliced from 3 exons. Lineage: Eukaryota; Viridiplantae; Streptophyta; Magnoliopsida; Rosales; Rosaceae. The record is from RefSeq and is a predicted model, not a curated record.
GAGCCAACUUGAAUUUGUUGUUCUACUCUAAAGGACAGAAGGUCCUAGCUACCAGCAAAAGGCACUUGGUUCUACAUGCUUCAAUUGAAGUGGUACGCAUAUCGCUUUAAGGAAAAGCUCUCAUGCAUCAGCCUUCUCUGCACACAUUUUCCAGAGAUAUCCUAAGUACUUGUCAUCUGUUACAUGGGCAUUUCUUCGAAUGUGUGCUUCCGACCUGGCUUCUCUUAUGCUAUAACAAGGAUCUUACAUGAGGAUAGAUGAAAGCUCCCAUCUUAUGGCUUACGCUAACGAACAAGUGUGUUUCUGUGAGGUUGCAUGAUUAAUCAUAGACACACUUUUGUGAGACGAGGCUUUGCUGAGCAAAGAGGGAGAUGAAGUUUGAAUACAAUUGUUUUGUUUUUAGUCGAAUG